GAGUUUGAUCCUGGCUCAGGACGAACGCUGGCGGCGUGCCUAACACAUGCAAGUCGAACGGAACUGUUUUGAAAGAUUUCUUCGGAAUGAAUUUGAUUUAGUUUAGUGGCGGACGGGUGAGUAACGCGUGAGUAACCUGCCUUAUACAGGGGGAUAACAGUCAGAAAUGACUGCUAAUACCGCAUAAGCGCACAGGACCGCAUGGUCCGGUGUGAAAAACUCCGGUGGUAUAAGAUGGACCCGCGUUGGAUUAGCUAGUUGGUGAGGUAACGGCCCACCAAGGCGACGAUCCAUAGCCGGCCUGAGAGGGUGAACGGCCACAUUGGAACUGAGACACGGUCCAAACUCCUACGGGAGGCAGCAGUGGGGAAUAUUGCACAAUGGGGGAAACUCUGAUGCAGCGACGCCGCGUGAAGGAAGAAGUAUCUCGGUAUGUAAACUUCUAUCAGCAGGGAAGAAAAUGACGGUACCUGACUAAGAAGCCCCGGCUAACUACGUGCCAGCCGCCGCGGUAAUAC
Molecule: ribosomal RNA, 518 nt
Filed under: uncultured bacterium
Lineage: Bacteria
Description: bacterial SSU rRNA
Rfam family: Bacterial small subunit ribosomal RNA
Source: RNAcentral